Molecule: ribosomal RNA, 430 nt
Filed under: uncultured Nitrospirales bacterium
Lineage: Bacteria; Pseudomonadati; Nitrospirota; Nitrospiria; Nitrospirales
Description: bacterial SSU rRNA
Rfam family: Bacterial small subunit ribosomal RNA
Source: RNAcentral
UGAGGAAUCUUGCGCAAUGGACGAAAGUCUGACGCAGCGAUGCCGCGUGGGGGAUGAAGGCCUUCGGGUCGUAAACCCCUUUGAGUGGGAAAGAAUCGCCGCGGGGUGAACAAUCCCGCGGCCUGACGGUACCCACAGAACAAGCCACGGCUAACUCUGUGCCAGCAGCCGCGGUAAGACAGAGGUGGCGAGCGUUGUUCGGAUUUACUGGGCGUAAAGCGUGGGUAGGCGGUCCGGUCAGUCAGAUGUGAAAUCCCAUCGCUCAACGAUGGAACGGCGUCUGAUACUGCCGGACUUGAGUGCAGGAGAGGAGGGUGGAAUUUCCGGUGUAGCGGUGAAAUGCGUAGAGAUCGGAAGGAACACCAGUGGCGAAGGCGGCCCUCUGGACUGCAACUGACGCUGAGACACGAAAGCGUGGGGAGCAAACAGG